RNAcentral lists this ribosomal RNA (271 nucleotides) under Shigella flexneri. RNAcentral's name for it is "partial 16S ribosomal RNA". It matches the Rfam family "Bacterial small subunit ribosomal RNA", at positions 1 to 269 of the family's 1533-position model. The record is from RNAcentral. Lineage: Bacteria; Pseudomonadati; Pseudomonadota; Gammaproteobacteria; Enterobacterales; Enterobacteriaceae.
AAAUUGAAGAGUUUGAUCAUGGCUCAGAUUGAACGCUGGCGGCAGGCCUAACACAUGCAAGUCGAACGGUAACAGGAAGCGCUUGCUGCUUCGCUGACGAGUGGCGGACGGGUGAGUAAUGUCUGGGAAACUGCCUGAUGGAGGGGGAUAACUACUGGAAACGGUAGCUAAUACCGCAUAACGUCGCAAGACCAAAGAGGGGGACCUUCGGGGCUCUUGCCAUCGGAUGUGCCCAGAUGGGAUUAGCUUGUUGGUGGGGUAACGGCUCACC